Hypomesus transpacificus is the source of this 289-nucleotide long non-coding RNA. RefSeq lists it as uncharacterized. The transcript has 3 exons. The record is from RefSeq and is a predicted model, not a curated record. Lineage: Eukaryota; Metazoa; Chordata; Actinopteri; Osmeriformes; Osmeridae.
CCUGACACAAUCACAGUUCGCGCCAAGCAACUCAGCUGAAAGUGCGUAGUAAACAGAUCUGACAGCAAUCAAUACGAGAAUUACACCAUACAGUUGAAUAUGGACAUCCGGCGGUUCUUUGCUCCGAGCAAAGCCGCAGUUCACCAAGCAGGCCCAAAUUUGAGCGCGCUCACAAACGAUGUCAAAAAGAAGAAAAUUAAAUCGGUGUCUCCAGAGGAAGACGUGAAGAAAAAGAAAAACAUCACCAAGAGAACCAGUCUCAAGGCAGAGAAGACACAGCUCUGUGACA